GAUGAACGCUGGCGGCGUGCCUAAUACAUGCAAGUCGAACGCACAGCGAAAGGUGCUUGCACCUUUCAAGUGAGUGGCGAACGGGUGAGUAACACGUGGACAACCUGCCUCAAGGCUGGGGAUAACAUUUGGAAACAGAUGCUAAUACCGAAUAAAACUCAGUGUCGCAUGACACAAAGUUAAAAGGCGCUUUGGCGUCACCUAGAGAUGGAUCCGCGGUGCAUUAGUUAGUUGGUGGGGUAAAGGCCUACCAAGACAAUGAUGCAUAGCCGGGUUGAGAGACUGAUCGGCCACAGUGGGACUGAGCCACGGCCCAAACUCCUACGGGAGGCUGCAGUAGGGAAUCUUCCACAAUAGGCGAAAGCCUGAUGGAGCAACGCCGCGUGUGUGAUGAAGGCUUUCGGGUCGUAAAGCACUGUUGUAUGGGAAGAACAGCUAGAAUAGGGAAUGAUUUUAGUUUGACGGUACCAUACCAGAAAGGGACGGCUAAAUACGUGCCAGCAGCCGCCGUAA
RNAcentral lists this ribosomal RNA (513 nucleotides) under uncultured bacterium. Its description in RNAcentral is "partial 16S ribosomal RNA". It matches the Rfam family "Bacterial small subunit ribosomal RNA", at positions 28 to 523 of the family's 1533-position model. The record is from RNAcentral.